UGAGGAAUAUUGGACAAUGGAUGGAAAUCUGAUCCAGCCAUGCCGCGUGAAGGACGACGGUCCUAUGGAUUGUAAACUUCUUUUGUAUGGGAGCAAUAAGGUCUACGUGUAGAUCGAUGAGAGUACCAUACGAAUAAGCAUCGGCUAACUCCGUGCCAGCAGCCGCGGUAAUACGGAGGAUGCGAGCGUUAUCCGGAUUUAUUGGGUUUAAAGGGUGCGUAGGCGGUUGUAUAAGUCAGCGGUGAAAUUUUCCGGCUUAACCGGGAGACUGCCGUUGAUACUGUAUAGCUUGAAUACGGUUGCUGUGAGUGGAAUGUGUGGUGUAGCGGUGAAAUGCAUAGAUAUCACACAGAAUAUCGAUUGCGAAGGCAGCUCACAAAGCCGUUAUUGACGCUGAUGCACGAAAGUGUGGGGAUCAAACAGG
This 424-nucleotide ribosomal RNA is filed under the name uncultured bacterium. RNAcentral's name for it is "bacterial SSU rRNA". It matches the Rfam family "Bacterial small subunit ribosomal RNA", at positions 355 to 776 of the family's 1533-position model. The record is from RNAcentral.